AGAGUUUGAUCCUGGCUCAGGACGAACGCUGGCGGCGUGCUUAACACAUGCAAGUCGAACGGGCACUUCGGUGUCAGUGGCGAACGGGUGAGUAAAGCGCAGGUAAUCUGCCGCAAAGUCGGGGACAACGUUCCGAAAGGGACGCUAAUACCGGAUGUUGUAAGUGAACCGCAUGGUUUGCUUAUUAAAGAUUUAUCGCUUUGCGAGGAGCCUGCGUCCGAUUAGGUAGUUGGUGGGGUAAAAGCCUACCAAGCCGACGAUCGGUAGCCGGUCUGAGAGGAUGAACGGCCACAAUGGAACUGAGACACGGUCCAUACUCCUACGGGAGGCAGCAGUGGGGAAUAUUCCACAAUGGGGGAAACCCUGAUGGAGCGACGCCGCGUGAGUGAAGAAGGGCUUCGGCUCGUAAAGCUCUUUUCUCAAGGACGAAUUAGUCUUCGGGACAGUUGACGGUACUUGGGGAAUAAGCCACGGCUAACUACGUGCC
Molecule: ribosomal RNA, 487 nt
Filed under: uncultured organism
Description: SSU rRNA
Rfam family: Bacterial small subunit ribosomal RNA
Source: RNAcentral